This 346-nucleotide ribosomal RNA is filed under the name uncultured ammonia-oxidizing bacterium. Its description in RNAcentral is "bacterial SSU rRNA". It matches the Rfam family "Bacterial small subunit ribosomal RNA", at positions 879 to 1220 of the family's 1533-position model. The record is from RNAcentral.
AGUACGGUCGCAAGAUUAAAAACUCAAAGGAAUUGACGGGGACCCGCACAAGCGGUGGAUUAUGUGGAUUAAUUCGAUGCAACGCGAAAAACCUUACCUACCCUUGACAUGCUUGGAAUCUAAUGGAGACAUAAGAGUGCCCGAAAGGGAGCCAAGACACAGGUGCUGCAUGGCUGUCGUCAGCUCGUGUCGUGAGAUGUUGGGUUAAGUCCCGCAACGAGCGCAACCCUUGUCACUAAUUGCUAUCAUUUUUAGAUGAGCACUUAUAGUGAGACUGCCGGUGACAAACCGGAGGAAGGUGGGGAUGACGUCAAGUCCUCAUGGCCCUUAUGGGUAAGGGCUUACA